AUACGGAGGAUCCGAGCGUUAUCCGGAUUUAUUGGGUUUAAAGGGAGCGUAGGUGGACAGUUAAGUCAGUUGUGAAAGUUUGCGGCUCAACCGUAAAAUUGCAGUUGAUACUGGCUGUCUUGAGUACAGUAGAGGUGGGCGGAAUUCGUGGUGUAGCGGUGAAAUGCUUAGAUAUCACGAAGAACUCCGAUUGCGAAGGCAGCUCACUGGACUGCAACUGACACUGAUGCUCGAAAGUGUGGGUAUCAAACAGGAUUAGAUACCCUGGUAGUCCACACAAUAAACGAUGAAUACUCGCUGUUUGCGAUAUACAGUAAGCGGCCAAGCGAAAGCAUUAAGUAUUCCACCUGGGGAGUACGCCGGCAACGGUGAAACUCAAAGGAAUUGACGGGG
RNAcentral lists this ribosomal RNA (393 nucleotides) under uncultured bacterium. Its description in RNAcentral is "partial 16S ribosomal RNA". It matches the Rfam family "Bacterial small subunit ribosomal RNA", at positions 523 to 918 of the family's 1533-position model. The record is from RNAcentral.